GACGAACGCUGGCGGCGUGCUUAACACAUGCAAGUCGAACGGAAAGGCCCUGCUUUUGUGGGGUGCUCGAGUGGCGAACGGGUGAGUAACACGUGAGUAACCUGCCCUUGACUUUGGGAUAACUUCAGGAAACUGGGGCUAAUACCGGAUAGGAGCUCCUGCUGCAUGGUGGGGGCUGGAAAGUUUCGGCGGUUGGGGAUGGGCUCGCGGCUUAUCAGCUUGUUGGUGGGGUAGUGGCUUACCAAGGCUUUGACGGGUAGCCGGCCUGAGAGGGUGACCGGCCACAUUGGGACUGAGAUACGGCCCAGACUCCUACGGGAGGCAGCAGUGGGGAAUAUUGCACAAUGGGCGGAAGCCUGAUGCAGCAACGCCGCGUGCGGGAUGACGGCCUUCGGGUUGUAAACCGCUUUCGCCUGUGACGAAGCGUGAGUGACGGUAAUGGGUAAAGAAGCACCGGCUAACUACGUG
RNAcentral lists this ribosomal RNA (468 nucleotides) under uncultured bacterium. Its description in RNAcentral is "partial 16S ribosomal RNA". It matches the Rfam family "Bacterial small subunit ribosomal RNA", at positions 28 to 507 of the family's 1533-position model. The record is from RNAcentral.